AUUGAACGCUGGCGGCAGGCUUAACACAUGCAAGUCGAGCGGAGCGAGGGUGCUUGCACCUUAGCUUAGCGGCGGACGGGUGAGUAAUGCUUAGGAAUCUGCCUAUUAGUGGGGGACAACAUUCCGAAAGGAAUGCUAAUACCGCAUACGCCCUACGGGGGAAAGCAGGGGAUCUUCGGACCUUGCGCUAAUAGAUGAGCCUAAGUCGGAUUAGCUAGUUGGUGGGGUAAAGGCCUACCAAGGCGACGAUCUGUAGCGGGUCUGAGAGGAUGAUCCGGCACACUGGGACUGAGACACGGCCCAGACUCCUACGGGAGGCAGCAGUGGGGAAUAUUGGACAAUGGGCGGAAGCCUGAUCCAGCCAUGCCGCGUGUGUGAAGAAGGCCUUUUGGUUGUAAAGCACUUUGAGCGAGGAGGAGGCUACUUAGAUUAAUACUCUAGGAUAGUGGACGUUACUCGCAGAAUAAGCACCGGCUAACUCUGUGCCAGCCGCCGCAGUAA
This 501-nucleotide ribosomal RNA is filed under the name uncultured bacterium. RNAcentral's name for it is "partial 16S ribosomal RNA". It matches the Rfam family "Bacterial small subunit ribosomal RNA", at positions 30 to 523 of the family's 1533-position model. The record is from RNAcentral.